This 208-nucleotide long non-coding RNA is filed under the name Salvia miltiorrhiza (redroot sage). Its description in RNAcentral is "long non-coding RNA (SMIL_LNC002513)". The record is from RNAcentral. Lineage: Eukaryota; Viridiplantae; Streptophyta; Magnoliopsida; Lamiales; Lamiaceae.
GUUAAAAAUAGAAUAAAAGUAUAAUUUAAAGAAAAAUAUAGAAACAAAAUGUAUGAUAUAAUGGUUUAAAUAGUGAAAUAUGACUAGUUUUGGUGAAAAAGAAAAGGUUAACUAGUUCUCCAGGGGACACCAAGCGGUGCGACCUUCUGUCUGUGAACAAUGAGAUCUCGGGUUCAAACCCCACGCCUCUCCCUCCCCAGCUCCCCCA